CUAGUAGGUGAGGUAAUGGCUCACCUAGGCGACGAUACAUAGCCGACCUGAGAGGGUGAUCGGCCACACUGGGACUGAGACACGGCCCAGACUCCUACGGGAGGCAGCAGUAGGGAAUCUUCGGCAAUGGGGGCAACCCUGACCGAGCAACGCCGCGUGAGUGAAGAAGGUUUUCGGAUCGUAAAGCUCUGUUGUAAGUCAAGAACGGGUGUGAGAGUGGAAAGUUCACACUGUGACGGUAGCUUACCAGAAAGGGACGGCUAACUACGUGCCAGCAGCCGCGGUAAUACGUAGGUCCCGAGCGUUGUCCGGAUUUAUUGGGCGUAAAGCGAGCGCAGGCGGUUUGAUAAGUCUGAAGUUAAAGGCUGUGGCUCAACCAUAGUUCGCUUUGGAAACUGUCAAACUUGAGUGCAGAAGGGGAGAGUGGAAUUCCAUGUGUAGCGGUGAAAUGCGUAGAUAUA
RNAcentral lists this ribosomal RNA (461 nucleotides) under Streptococcus thermophilus. RNAcentral describes it as "bacterial SSU rRNA". It matches the Rfam family "Bacterial small subunit ribosomal RNA", at positions 245 to 698 of the family's 1533-position model. The record is from RNAcentral. Lineage: Bacteria; Bacillati; Bacillota; Bacilli; Lactobacillales; Streptococcaceae.